This 108-nucleotide small RNA is filed under the name Gilliamella apicola. RNAcentral's name for it is "Alpha operon ribosome binding site". It matches the Rfam family "Alpha operon ribosome binding site". From Rfam's summary of the family: The bacterial alpha operon ribosome binding site is surrounded by this complex pseudoknotted structure. Translation of the mRNA produces 4 ribosomal protein products, one of which (S4) acts as a translational repressor by binding to the nested pseudoknot region. The mechanism of repression is thought to involve a conformational switch in the pseudoknot region and ribosome entrapment. Lineage: Bacteria; Pseudomonadati; Pseudomonadota; Gammaproteobacteria; Orbales; Orbaceae. The record is from RNAcentral.
UUGCUGUUUGAGUAUCCUGAAAACGGGCUUUUCAGUAUAGUAAGUUUACUAACAUUAACAAUAAAGGAGUGCAUAGUGGCCCGUAUAGCAGGCAUUAACAUUCCUGAU